Parasteatoda tepidariorum (common house spider) is the source of this 3407-nucleotide long non-coding RNA. Lineage: Eukaryota; Metazoa; Arthropoda; Arachnida; Araneae; Theridiidae. The record is from RefSeq and is a predicted model, not a curated record.
UUACUUUACUUACUUUAACACUUUAACUUUCAUUUUUAAGCUAUUCUUCCAUGUAGGCUUUGGUAGGCUUACAUUCAUUCAUUAUUAUACUAGUUAAAUAUUUUUGCAAAGCUCUAGAACUUUAAUGAUUAGAACUUUUCAGUGGUUUUAAUUUAGAUAAAUGCUGGGAGGCCAUUUCUACUCUGCCAACUUAAUGCUUUGCCUACUAAUGCAUUGCCUCUGUGAACUAACGCGGAGCACUUGAAAUGCUAGGACUAUUUUGAAACCCCGACUCCGUGUUCUCUGCUUUUACUAUUUGGAGUGCCCUUCGGCUUAUGCAGUUUUUCCCCAAAAAUUGUAAUAUUAAAUAUGAACUUUCUUAAAUUUAUUUCAAUUUUUUUCUCAAAGAAUGCACUGUCCAAUUUUUUGAUUGCAUUGAAUCUUUAUAUGAUUGUGUAUAAUUUGUGUAUGGGAAAUUUUUGAGAGAUUUGUAUUGAGAAAAACUGAUAUUGUUCUCUACCUUUGAGUGCAUAAUAAACACAAGAUAAAGACAAAAAUGAAUCAUGUUUUAUUUUCCACAAGCCAUAGGAUUUUAAUUCAAAUAAAAAUUUUGGGCAAGAGUAUGUCUCAAAAGGGGACUUUGUUUUAUCCUUCAAAUGUUUUGCUGGUUGUGAAUUUCAGAAGAAACGAAAUUAUAUCACAAUUAACAAAUUUGUUUUUCCUUGAGAUAAAUUUUACAAUUAAAAAGUUAUUAUUUUUUUUAUAUGUAAAAUAAGUUUUAUGUUCAUUACGUUAAGAGUUUUCAAAAUUGGUAAAAUUCUUUUAUUUUCUCAGUUGAAUUCUGCAUUAAAGGUUGAAAUUCUCUUUCUACCUCUAAACUUUUUACUUCAUUUUAAAUGUUUUCUUUCUUAAAUAGUCUGGACAACCACAAUAAUUUCUUUUAUAAGCCUUUAUUCAAUAUUUUGCAGGCUGGAUCCUUGCCCUGUAUAUUUAAUUACUGUAUAGUAAUAGAAUUUUUUUUAAUUGCUCAUUGUUAUUGACAAAGGCUAACUGCUGGAGAUUUUUCUAGCUUCGAAUUUCAUUCCUCAGGGGGUUUAUCUCUUUAUGAUAAACACGGGUGUCACAAUCCCGAGGUUCCCUAGUGGUCUUUAAUUCCCAUGCUCAGUUCAGUUAAAAGGCGUAGUUAUUAAAACAAUGGGAAAAAGUCAAAUAAUAGUUGGUGAUUUAAAGUUAGUUAGGACAAUUUUGAAAAUUAUUACAUUUGAUUAAAGAUUUAAAGCAAAAGUGAGUAUUAUGCUUAAAAUGAAAUAGUUAAAAUAGAAAGAAAAAGUGAUUGUUAAGGUAGUGGUUAGUACCUGGUUGGACAAUAACCAGCAAAGGAUAAGUGUCAAAUUGUUCGUUUAUGUUUCAAAAGUUUUGCAUGUACCAUCACCUGCAUUCUCUGGCUCUCUUUAUGUUGAUCUACACAUCCAUCACCUCCUAGAACUAGAAACCAACACAUAUCAGGAGAGUGACUCAUACUAGGUAGUCUUUUUCGACCACUACAUCCUAGAACAGGUGAUUCGACUCGCUUGUUACAUCUAAAUUAUGUUACAACCAAGUUAUACCAUAAACAUUUAUUCCAUUUCUAUUAAUAAGUAGUUUCUCCAUCUUUAUGGAAGAACUUCGAUUAAUAAUAAAACUCUCAAAAUAUAAUAUAAUGAAGUACAGAAUAAUAUAGUGGUAGACUUUAUAAAAUAGAGUCAAAUUCAUAUUGUAGCUAUCAUAGCUUUACUCCCCUAAAAUUUUAAUAUGGAAAAUAGUAGUAAUUUGUUACUGAUUCAACUACUUAUUUGUGGAUAAGUGAAAAGAAAUUUCUAUGGGUGAUGGAAAACUAUCUCUUAGUGAAAAUGUCAACGAAUGUUCCUUAAAAAAAAUAUUUAAAAAUAAAAAUUAGAUUAUAAUAAAUGCAAAUUGAUUUUUAAUGUAUGAUUACUUUUGUAAUGUUUUAAAUUUUGUUGUAGAAGUUUCUUUUAAACUAGGCUAUUGCUUUUUACAAUAAUUGUUUAAAAAGACAUAAGUGCAUACCCAAAAUGUUCGGGUAUAUAGUUUUCAGUGCCCAUUUUCACAUAUCUCAAAACCCAAGGAAAUUUCUUCAUUGACAAGAAUAUUCAUAGUAAUCGACGUUGCAAAUUUCGGGUGAUUUUCUACAAACGUUAAUUCUUUUUCAAGAUCUGGUGAUAAGUCUUGAAUAACGUUACAACACAGACAACAUCUGGGUAAGGAUUUUUCAGGCCACUCCUAUCAAAUUUAGUAAUCCACUAAUUUGUAGCAUUACUAUUUAGUAAUUAAAAGUACAGGAAUUAAUUUUUUUAGCUAAAGCGGGAUGCAUAAUCAGUUAUUGCUUGUAAAGAUCUAAACGCCUAUUUUAACAUAAGUUCAUUAUUUACUGUUAAUUUGGUUUCCAAAUUAGUUGAUUAGUUAAUAUUUUCCCAGGUAUUAUCAUUAAAGAUACGAAAGUAAAUCUUGUGAUUUUAAAUAAAUGUGCUAAAUGCCUUCCAACCUUAAUAUGUUCAUUUUCAAAUUCUUCCCCGAUAUUAUAUUCUGGUGUGAUCCUGAGAGUUUCCUAUACUUACCUAAUCUUUCUUCCAGCGAAUCAGAUUGAAUUUUUCCAGGAAGAAAGUUUGUUUUGACUAAGCAGUAUCGUGCGAGUUCCAUUAAGGCGCAAGUAGACAAUUGGAAUUUCUUAGUGCAGUGUGAGAUUCAGACAACCUGUUGUUGAUUUCAUAUUUUUCCAACUAUCCAGUCACAACGCGAACUGGUUUAAAAAGUUUUAUUUUGUAUCGUGUUAAGGUGAAAAUCAACAAGAUUUUAGGCUGGUGCGACCACGUUGGCCACACCCUUACACCUAAAAGUUCAUCCCUCAUAAUGAUCUUGCUAUCUCCAUUCGUAACAUAACUGUACCAAUUGUGCCACACGCAAAGUUUGUUGGUGUCAUUUUCGAUAGUUAAAUGACCUUUAUCCCACAUAUCAAACAAUUGCGAAAGCUAUUCGAGCAGAAAUUAAAUAUGCUGCUUGUGUUAUAUAUUUUGGAGAGUAAAUCGCCUAGCCUUACUCUCAACUAUCAAUCAUCUAUUGUAUUAAAUUCAAAACUCAUAAAUAGUAGUAAUAUUGGUCAUGCAACACAAUACGUAACUAAUGCAAUUAUCUCAGUAGCUGAAAAAUCUAUGCCAUAUACAUCUCAGAACUACCUAAGCAACCAAAGCCCUGGUAGCAUCAUGAAUGCCUCCUAACUCGAAAAGCGCAAAAAAAAGGUUUGGAGGAAUUUUCGCAAAUUUCCUACAGUUGAAAAUUCGAACAAGCUCGCGCUCUAGCCCGUAGAACCCGUCGUCAAAGCCAAAGAAAAUCCUGGAUAACUUAUGUCAGUGAAAUCAAUGUUAAUACUCCUU